GCCUCUCAGCAAGGACAGAAGCCUUACGUAGACUAAAAGGGCAAAAGCUGGCUCAAUUUUGAUUUUCAGUACGAAUAUGGACUUCAAAAAUA
RNAcentral lists this non-coding RNA (92 nucleotides) under Stegodyphus mimosarum. Lineage: Eukaryota; Metazoa; Arthropoda; Arachnida; Araneae; Eresidae. The record is from Rfam by way of RNAcentral.